UCCUCAGUAGCUCAAUGGCGGAGCAACCGGCUGUUAACCGGUAGGCUGUUGGUUCGAGUCCAACCUGGGGAG
This 72-nucleotide transfer RNA is filed under the name Clostridium sp. CAG:715. It matches the Rfam family "tRNA". Rfam says of the family: Transfer RNA (tRNA) molecules are approximately 80 nucleotides in length. Their secondary structure includes four short double-helical elements and three loops (D, anti-codon, and T loops). Further hydrogen bonds mediate the characteristic L-shaped molecular structure. tRNAs have two regions of fundamental functional importance: the anti-codon, which is responsible for specific mRNA codon recognition, and the 3' end, to which the tRNAs corresponding amino acid is attached (by aminoacyl-tRNA synthetases). tRNAs cope with the degeneracy of the genetic code in two manners: having more than one tRNA (with a specific anti-codon) for a particular amino acid; and 'wobble' base-pairing, i.e. permitting non-standard base-pairing at the 3rd anti-codon position. RNAcentral also lists the same sequence under 8 other names. The record is from Rfam by way of RNAcentral. Lineage: Bacteria; Bacillati; Bacillota; Clostridia; Eubacteriales; Clostridiaceae.